Molecule: ribosomal RNA, 347 nt
Filed under: uncultured Pseudomonas sp.
Lineage: Bacteria; Pseudomonadati; Pseudomonadota; Gammaproteobacteria; Pseudomonadales; Pseudomonadaceae
Description: bacterial SSU rRNA
Rfam family: Bacterial small subunit ribosomal RNA
Source: RNAcentral
GGUGCUGCAUGGCUGUCGUCAGCUCGUGUCGUGAGAUGUUGGUUAAGUCCCGUAACGAGCGCAACCCUUGUCCUUAGUUACCAGCACGUUAUGGUGGGCACUCUAAGGAGACUGCCGGUGACAAACCGGAGGAAGGUGGGGAGUGACGUCAAGUCAUCAUGGCCCUUACGGCCUGGGCGUACACACGUGCUACAAUGGUCGGUACAAAGGGUUGCCAAGCCGCGAGGUGGAGCUAAUCCCAUAAAACCGAUCGUAGUCCGGAUCGCAGUCUGCAACUCGACUGCGUGAAGUCGGAAUCGCUAGUAAUCGUGAAUCAGAAUGUCACGGUGAAUACGUUCCCGGGCCUU